UAUCGAUGUUGCUACCGAAAAGUUUAAAAAUCAGAGAAAAAGGAAGAAGAAGAUGAAUGUUGCACUGUUAAAAAAAGUGCACUAUUUUACAAGAAAAUUGCACUAUUUAAUAUGAACGUUGCAUUCUUUGAGAUGAAAAUUUUACUCUUUAAAAUAAAAGUUACACUCUUUUGACAAAAAUUAGACUAUUUCAGAAAAAUUGCAUUAUUCUCCGACCCUCAUCUCCUCCUCCUCUUUUUCUUCUUCUUCUUCGUCUUUCUUUGACACUUUCCUCUCCCUCCUCCUCUGAUCCCUAUACUCACCAACGCGAGACUGUCUACCUCGUGCGUCACAUCGGACUGCCGAAACACGAAAACGACCUACUGCUCUUUUCUUUUUUUUUUCUUCAUUUUUAUUCUCUCCGACCCUCUUCGCCUCCUCUACCGCUUCCACGGCCCUCGGCGACGGUAACAAGAGCGGCGCCACCUCCUCUUCCUCCGUCUCCUCCUCUGCUGGCACCGGUGGCCCUCGGCGACGGAAACGAGGGCGGCGCUGUCACGCCCCGAACUUGGUCCAAUUUGGCCGGUUCGGACCCGUCGAACAGACGCCGAACGGACAACACCUUCCCUGUCCGCCCAAGGCUCAAUAUCAA
Molecule: long non-coding RNA, 631 nt
Filed under: Ananas comosus (pineapple)
Lineage: Eukaryota; Viridiplantae; Streptophyta; Magnoliopsida; Poales; Bromeliaceae
Description: long non-coding RNA (ACOM_LNC024127)
Source: RNAcentral